AUGCCUAUUGCUUGUUGUGAUGAUUAUGAUUGGGAAGAUAAUGAUACUUCUUAUGAUCUUGAAAAUCUUUUUGGCACUUGCUUGGAAGAAUAUGAUAAUUGCUAUACUAUUGGUGCUAUCCAUACUAUUAAUGAUGAGAGUGAUUACGCUUACGAUAUUAAAAGGCCCAAGCUUGGGGAUGCUAUGUUUGAAGAAUAUGAUGUUUUUGAGAAUAUAUUUGCUGCAAUUAAUGUUUGUCCCAAGCUUGGGGAUGCUACGUUUAAUGAAGAAGAUAUUUUUAGCCUCCCAAGUUUUGAUAUGCAAAUUUGUUAUGAUGAUAGCAUGCCUCCUACUUAUGAUGAUUAUAUUGAUGAAAGUGGGUUUGGAAGAGUGUCAACUUUAGGAAGUAAUGAUCCCACUAUUUUGGAGGAUGUUGAAUCAUAUUGUGAUAAGUAUGAAAGUGGAUUUGGAGAGGUCAUGACUUUAUUUAGUGAUGAUUCCACUAUCUUGGAAGAGGUUUCAAUUGAUUAUGAUGAGAACAAAGUUGCUACUUAUGAUGAUUAUUGUGAUGAAACUUAUGCUAUAAAAGUAGUGAUGAUUAUAUUUAUAAAACUUGUCAUGCUUAUGAUUACCCUUUUUCUGAACAUUACUCUUUUAAUAUGGAAACAAUUUAUAGUAUUCGAGUCUCUUAUGAUACUCCCACUAUUCCAAAAGAGAAGAAUUUUGCUUAUGUGGAGAGUAGUAAAAUUUCUAUGCAAGUAG
RNAcentral lists this ribosomal RNA (741 nucleotides) under Triticum aestivum (bread wheat). Its description in RNAcentral is "partial small subunit ribosomal RNA". Lineage: Eukaryota; Viridiplantae; Streptophyta; Magnoliopsida; Poales; Poaceae. The record is from RNAcentral.